This 147-nucleotide ribosomal RNA is filed under the name uncultured Brachyspira sp. RNAcentral's name for it is "partial 16S ribosomal RNA". It matches the Rfam family "Bacterial small subunit ribosomal RNA", at positions 90 to 238 of the family's 1533-position model. The record is from RNAcentral. Lineage: Bacteria; Pseudomonadati; Spirochaetota; Spirochaetia; Brachyspirales; Brachyspiraceae.
AGUUAGCGGCGAACUGGUGAGUAACACGUAGGUAAUCUGCCGUGAAGUGGGGGAUAACCCAUGGAAACAUGGACUAAUACCGCAUAUACUCUUGCUACAUAAGUAGAGUAGAGGAAAGUUUUUUCGCUUCACGAUGAGCCUGCGGCC